CUAUGUGUUGUUGGGUAGGGGAGCGUUCUGUAAGCCGUUGAAGGUGUACUGUGAGGUAUGCUGGAGGUAUCAGAAGUGCGAAUGCUGACAUAAGUAACGAUAAUGCGGGUGAAAAACCCGCACGCCGGAAGACCAAGGGUUCCUGUCCAACGUUAAUCGGGGCAGGGUGAGUCGACCCCUAAGGCGAGGCCGAAAGGCGUAGUCGAUGGGAAACAGGUUAAUAUUCCUGUACUUGGUGUUACUGCGAAGGGGGGACGGAGAAGGCUAUGUUAGCCGGGCGACGGUUGUCCCGGUUUAAGCAUGUAGGCGGAGGUUCCAGGUAAAUCCGGUACCUUAUUAACGCUGAGGUGUGAUGACGAGGCACUACGGUGCUGAAGUAACAAAUGCCCUGCUUCCAGGAAAAGCCUCUAAGCAUCAGGUAACACGAAAUCGUACCCCAAACCGACACAGGUGGUCAGGUAGAGAAUACCAAGGCGCUUGAGAGAACUCGGGUGAAGGAACUAGGCAAAAUGGUGCCGUAACUUCGGGAGAAGGCACGCUGAUAUGUAGGUGAAGUGGUUUA
RNAcentral lists this ribosomal RNA (562 nucleotides) under Salmonella enterica subsp. enterica serovar Rovaniemi. RNAcentral's name for it is "partial 23S ribosomal RNA". It matches the Rfam family "Bacterial large subunit ribosomal RNA", at positions 1214 to 1772 of the family's 2925-position model. The record is from RNAcentral. Lineage: Bacteria; Pseudomonadati; Pseudomonadota; Gammaproteobacteria; Enterobacterales; Enterobacteriaceae.